UUCUUUUCUUGGACAUACUUAAUUUAUCAUAAUGUGAGGCUAAGAACGUCGAUCGAUUUAAGUUCAUCGAGCUUGUAUUUUGAUGGUGGAUUUGUAGAGUCGAUGUUCUUUAUCUUUGCAGUUAUAUAACUCUUCCACUCUAUGCUCUCGUAACUCAGAUGGGUACGCGUAUGAAGAAGUUGAUCUUUGACGAACAAACAUCGAAGGCCCUCAAGAAGUGGCACGUAGCUGCUAUCAUCAUAUUUGUUCCAUUAAGUACACCAUAUUCUUGGGGUAAAAUCAAAUUUUCUUUUCGUUGAUAUGGAAAAAGUAUUCAGAAGUUGAGCGCACA
Molecule: long non-coding RNA, 331 nt
Organism: Benincasa hispida (wax gourd)
Lineage: Eukaryota; Viridiplantae; Streptophyta; Magnoliopsida; Cucurbitales; Cucurbitaceae
Source: RefSeq, a predicted model, not a curated record